This is a long non-coding RNA of Alligator mississippiensis (American alligator), 2428 nucleotides long. RefSeq lists it as uncharacterized. NCBI's taxonomy places the organism in Eukaryota, Metazoa, Chordata, Crocodylia, Alligatoridae. The record is from RefSeq and is a predicted model, not a curated record. The transcript is spliced from 4 exons.
CCCUCCCUGCCACCCAGGAGGCCAGACUAGAAGACCUAGUGCUCCUUUUUGCCCUCAGUGUCUUAUGCCACCAUCAGCAGAGGAAAAGGAAGUGGAGAUGCAGUGUGGGUGUCUUCAGGGAGGAAAGCUGAUACCAGCUUCAGCAGUUUUCCCAAUCCACUUUGAAGAAACGUCUUUGCAGGGUUCAGGUAUCCAACAAGAGUAGCUGCUGGGACUCUGCUCCUUGUGAGAAUCAUCUACCCAGGAUUUCUGACGCAUUUGCCUUUCUACUUUCCUCUUCUAAACAGGAGAGAGAAACUUAGAGGAGAAUUUGCAGGUGAGCAACCUGGGCAUGGCAUGUGAAAAGGCAGGGCAGGUGCAGGAGAUGGGUGGAGAGAGAUGGUUUGCUCUGCGGGCAUGUGGCAAUGUAAAGGGAAUCCACUACAAGGAGCCGUUAUAAGUCCCUGCCCCACAUCCUCCAGCAGCCGAUAAUCCUGGACUACUCCAAUGGCUUCACCACCCUGCAUGGCUGACCACGUGCCUGUCACUCGAACAGGGAUCAUUUGCUCCCUGAAUGCCUUUCAGCUGGCCUGGCUGGUUCCUGGUGAUCCUGCAGCACUUUCUCCCACCCCCUUCCUGCCCCUACAGUCUUAGACCAGGCUCCUGUGAGCUUGCUUUCUUUCUCAGCUGCAAUACGCUGCCUAUGUGAGGGAACAAGUCAUCCAUCAGGCACACCCUGCUGAUCUGAGUUUCACAACCUGGGAGAGAGAUUUAGUAGCUAAGAAGAGAGUCGAAGAGCUUUGGGUCAACUUGGUCACAGCACAACCCUUCCCCGGUUAAUUGGCAGAUUGAGUGGCUUGAGGAAAAUUGGAAUUGGUAGAGGCAGAUGGAAAUGCAGUUCACUUUGUGGGAGUCAUUUGCAUGUUGCAACCCUUAGUCCGGACGCUAACAUCCUCCUCGAGGGCUACAGGUCACACACAGUUUGCUUCCCACCAGCUGCUCUUCAGAGAAAUUUGCAAGUUAUUGUUUUGUUUUUUUUCAUUUCCCUUUUAAAUUAAAAGGGGAUAGGCGAGAGAGAAUGUUUGAGCAGCUAACAUUUACUAUGUAACACGCCUUCAUCAUUCACAAUCUAUUGAAGCAAGAGCAGCAUCAUCAAAUACACCUGAAUGAUUCUGGGUAUGUGCUCAGGCAGUGCUGAUGUGCUAUAGUGGCAAAAUAGCACCUGCUUGCAAAUUGCACAGACCAUGUAUUUUGUGGCAUUUCCAGAUCAGAUCUGCAUAUUAAAGAUUUUGAGCCUGCCUUUGUUCACUCUGCUAUUGUAAUUGUAUAUCCUUUAAUAGUAAGUCAACUGUAUGUACGACAAUGGCUAUAAACACAUAUUUUUGACAAUCAAAUGCUAUGAAUACAUUUCUUACCGUGUAUUGAAAGCAUCCGUUGUCAGAGUCAUCUGCUAAGAGUCUGAUUUUAAUUAUGUGCUGCUCCUCCCCCAUUGGGUACAUAAGUGGCAACAUUAUAGAAGCGUGGGCUGUUCUAGCGGGUUUGAAAUGUUGCUAUACGAGACAGAAACAGCAGUUUUAAUCACGUUGCAACUAUGCAGAAAAUAUGAUAGUUCAAGGUCAUGAUAAUUUCCAUACGAAUGAACAAGUUGAGUUUACCCCUCAUCAAAUGAUGUCUAUUUUGGUAGAGGUGCCACGGCCUUGUUCAGCGUUUGGAAGUUGGGCGGUUGCCAUUCAGGUAGCUUGAAAACAGCAACCUGCCUGCUUUUUGAUGUGGACAGGAGAAAACAGAGAAGAUUCCUGGAAGAGAGGAAGAGGAAGAUGGCAGGAGAGGAUUCUUAACACUGGAUGAGUUUUACAUUUUGGACAGCUGGGCUCUGCAGGAAAAAACCCAACCAAACGCUAAUGCAUUAUAUCCUCCAUACUUUCACUGAUUUGGCCUCAGCACCUGCAGCAGGCACUCAAAAGUCACUAUAGAUUCAUCCUUUCAGCUGAUUGGCUCCAUUAUAAGCUUUCCUUGAAAUAUGGAGGAAACAGUACGUUUCCAUUGGAUUGGAAAGCAAGACACAAGAAGGUAUGGCCAACUUUGGACUAAACAUUGCAGUGCCAGUGAAUAGUGAGUCCGACAAAGUUAACUUCACAGUUUAUCCCAAGUUCUAAGAGUUAAGACCAGAUGAUAAAUGAAAUGUGUCAAAACUGCUUUAUAUUUUCUGUGAACUACUAUGAAGCUAAGAUUGUUGUUCAUUUUUUUUAAAAUGGAGAGUUGUUUUUGGCAAAAAGAAUGCAAUAAAAUGUUCCUAUUCUGUAGCUUUUUUAAAUACCUGCAUCUUUUUUCUAGGGGAGACAAACAUCAAUUGUGGGGCAACUUAAUUGAAUUGAAAAUGACAUUUCAAUGAAAUAAUGCAUUGCUGCUUCUGCCUGUGUUAGCAAUGCACCAGUAAACAAAAUAAAAU